GUGUACUUCCAACCCAAUAAAGGCCAUAUGUGAAAAUCCCACCACUAACAUUAUGCUGAAUAGGGAAAAGCUGAGAGCUUUUCUUCUAAGCACUGAAACAAGGCAAGGAUACCUACUCUCACCACUCUUAUUCAACACAGAUCCGGAAGUUCUUCCCAGCACAAUUACGCAAGAGAAAAAAAAAAAAAAAAAAAAAAAGAAAAUAAACUUACUUUGUCUACAAAAAUGAGAAUUAUCUUCUUUCUAAAGGUAAUUUAAUUAUUUCAGGCUAAUUUUGGCUAUUAAGAAAAAGGCUCAUAUAUUUUUCAUAUAUAUUAAACAUGUGAAUACAACUUUGACAAUUAAACUUUAUAUGACUGGAUCACUUUCACGUUGCAAAACACUCUGACAAUAUUAUCUUAAUUCUUCUAACAAAUGCAUGAGAUAAGCAUCAUUUUCACUGAACUGAUGGAGAAAGUGAGACUUGCCCAAAGUCACACAGUUAAGUGGCAGAGCUCAAAUACAAAUACUGAAAAAAUAAUACUCUCUGGAAGAUUAGAGCCUACAUAGUAUUUUUUUUAUGCAUUAGAAAAAAACCAAGAAAAUGUAAAAAAAGAGACAAAAAUAAUAUCUUUCCUUUAUAGGUCCCCAGAUUUUUACAUUUUUUUAAAGAAGUAAUUUUUAUAAAGUACAUUUUAUAAUACUUAUAAUUUGUUUCAUAAAAUUGAGAAGCACAGAAAAUCAUGCUUCCAUAAGACUAAGAUAAAUACUGUCAAAAAUUUCCAGCCUAUCUGUGUAAUUUUUUUGCCUACACACAUAGAAAACUAAAAUUGGGAUCAUAUUAUAUAUUAAGUUUGGCAAACUGCUCUCUUUCCUGAAUGAUCUGGAAAAUGUUUUUCAUGCUAUUGAAAGUAAUCUGAAUAUUUAAAUAUCAGGAUGACCUGAGCCUCCAAUCUCUGCCGCUUAUAAUGAAGCUUCCUGGGUCAGACUUGAUUCAGGAAGCUUCUUUUCUGACUUUUGUAGUUAAUUUGACAUAAUCACUAGUAAUAGGAAAUCAGCAGGGGAAAUUUUCCAUGUGACUUUAGAUAAGCAUGAAAUUGUCUUCAUCUUCCACAGCAGAUCAGAAUCACUG
This 1111-nucleotide long non-coding RNA is filed under the name Callithrix jacchus (white-tufted-ear marmoset). RNAcentral describes it as "lncRNA (ENSCJAG00000087243.1)". Lineage: Eukaryota; Metazoa; Chordata; Mammalia; Primates; Cebidae. The record is from RNAcentral.